Molecule: ribosomal RNA, 253 nt
Filed under: uncultured bacterium
Lineage: Bacteria
Description: partial 16S ribosomal RNA
Rfam family: Bacterial small subunit ribosomal RNA
Source: RNAcentral
UACGAAGGGGGCUAGCGUUGCUCGGAAUCACUGGGCGUAAAGGGUGCGUAGGCGGGUCUUUAAGUCAGAGGUGAAAUCCUGGAGCUCAACUCCAGAACUGCCUUUGAUACUGAGGAUCUUGAGUUCGGAAGAGGUGAGUGGAACUGCGAGUGUAGAGGUGAAAUUCGUAGAUAUCAGGAAGAACACCCGUGGCGAAGGCGGCUCUCUGGGACGGUACUGACGCUGAGACGCGAAAGCGUGGGGAGCGAACAGG